RNAcentral lists this ribosomal RNA (371 nucleotides) under Deltaproteobacteria bacterium RIFCSPLOWO2_12_FULL_42_16. RNAcentral describes it as "bacterial SSU rRNA". It matches the Rfam family "Bacterial small subunit ribosomal RNA", at positions 1 to 356 of the family's 1533-position model. Lineage: Bacteria; Deltaproteobacteria. The record is from RNAcentral.
UAAGUGGAGAGUUUGAUCCUGGCUCAGAGCGAACGCUAGCGGCGCGCCUAACACAUGCAAGUCGAGCGAGAAAGAGGGGGCAACUCCUUGAGUAAAGCGGCGAACGGGUGAGUAAUGCAUGGGUAAUCUACCUAUAAGACUGGGAUAACCUUCCGAAAGGAGGGCUAAUACCGGAUAAGACCACAUGACUUUUGUUGUGGGGUUAAAGAUGGGGAUUCGCAAGAACCUAUCAUUUAUGGAUGAGCCCAUGUCCCAUCAGCUUGUUGGUAGGGUAAUGGCCUACCAAGGCUAAGACGGGUAGCUGGUCUGAGAGGACGAUCAGCCACACUGGCACUGAAACACGGGCCAGACUCCUACGGGAGGCAGCAGUG